Molecule: transfer RNA, 75 nt
Filed under: Mycolicibacterium agri
Lineage: Bacteria; Bacillati; Actinomycetota; Actinomycetes; Mycobacteriales; Mycobacteriaceae
Description: tRNA-Thr
Rfam family: tRNA
About the family: Transfer RNA (tRNA) molecules are approximately 80 nucleotides in length. Their secondary structure includes four short double-helical elements and three loops (D, anti-codon, and T loops).
Source: RNAcentral
GCCUCCUUAGCUCAGUGGUAGAGCAACAUACUUGUAAUAUGUAGGUCAUCGGUUCGAUCCCGAUAGGAGGCUCCA